AGGAGAACAUAUGCAGCAGGUUAGGAGAACGUACGCAGCAGGUUAGGAGAACAUACGCAGCAGGUUAGGAGAACAUACGCAGCAGGUUAGGAGAACAUACGCAGCAGGUUAGGAGAACAUACGCAGCAGGUUAGGAGAACAUACGCAGCAGGUUAGGAGAAUUAACGUACCAGGUUAGAACUAACGCAGCAGGUUAGGAUAAUUAACAUACCAGCUUAGAAGAAUUAUGCAGCAGGUUAGGAGAAUUUACACACCAGGUUAGGAGAAUUAACGCACCAGGUUAGGAGAAUUAACGUACCAGGCUAGGAGAAUUAACGUACCAUGUUAGGAGAAUU
Long non-coding RNA from Oncorhynchus tshawytscha (Chinook salmon), 335 nucleotides. NCBI's taxonomy places the organism in Eukaryota, Metazoa, Chordata, Actinopteri, Salmoniformes, Salmonidae. The record is from Ensembl.